GGAGGUGCGCCCCACGCAACCGCUGGAUGAGGGCUGGCUGCCCGGUGUUCUGAGAGUGGCCUAAGAAGAUGUCCAGCGGCCAUGCUCGGGACAGCUCCAUCUGCUUACUACUCACAAAAACAGAUCCCAUAUCAUUUCAGCAUGGAAUCAAGAUAAAAAAUGUCAAUGAGGUUCAAAGCUACCAGAACAUUCUGGGACACACAGGACGACGUGACCAAGGCUGGGACGAAGGGAUCACAAUGAGUCCCUGAGAAAAAACUCACCGAGACACAAAAAGGUCUUUGUUCACGUGGUUAAAAAUCCAGAGGCCGCCUUCUGUAGGACCCUAUUUCCUGGCCUGCAAAAUGAGGAUAAAUGUAAUAUCUCCCUCACAGUGUUUUACUGAGGAUUAAACAUGACUUGGGUAUGUGAACACUAAAGAGCUGAAGGGAUGUAGUUUAUUUGAGGUGGGAUGUAUGCCUGAAGGAGAGAAAGGAUUAAGGAGAGGUGGUCCUGUGAUGGUUUCCAUUUUUUCCCCAGCCCGUGGCCAAAUCCUGUCCUUGGCCAAAGCCUGUCCCUGGAGGCUUUUCCUUUGAUGACGGAUGAUGGCACGCAGUUACCUGGAUGCCAAGGGCUGACCUGGGCCUUCAGGAGCACGGCCUGUGUGAGAGUCCUGCCCCACCUCUUAG
Choloepus didactylus (southern two-toed sloth) is the source of this 668-nucleotide long non-coding RNA. RefSeq lists it as uncharacterized. NCBI's taxonomy places the organism in Eukaryota, Metazoa, Chordata, Mammalia, Pilosa, Megalonychidae. The record is from RefSeq and is a predicted model, not a curated record. The transcript has 3 exons.